CCUGAGAAACCCGAAAGAUCGAAUGGGGAGAUUCAUCGUCAGCGACGUCGGCUUUUCGGCGGUUCGCGAUGCGCGCGAGGCGUCCUUACGGGCGUCCGCGUCGCACGCGUCCGCCGUGUUUUCAUGCUCGGCGGCGUCGGCGUGCACUUCUCCCCUAGUAGGACGUCGCGACCCGUUGGGUGUCGGUCUACGGCCCGGAUUGUCGCCUGUCCCGUCGCUUCGGCGUCGCGGGGCAGACACCCGGUGUAGCCCGGCCGGCUGCCCGGCGGUACUCGCACGGUAUCUGGCCGCAAUCGAACUGCGUCUUAGGCCCGCCGCAAGCGCGGUCAGUGUAUACCCGGAGUGCGGACCUAGCGCCGUCCCCGGGCCUGGCUCGCUGUUCGCCGGCGGUGUCCUCUGACAGGCCGUAUCAGUCAUGAUAUGUGAUACCGGUCGGCGACGCUACUGCUUUGGGUACUUUCAGG
This 464-nucleotide ribosomal RNA is filed under the name Rothevania valdivianus. Its description in RNAcentral is "eukaryotic LSU rRNA". The record is from RNAcentral. Lineage: Eukaryota; Metazoa; Arthropoda; Insecta; Hymenoptera; Evaniidae.